AGAGAGAGACAUGCGCGCAUAUCAAUAAGCGGAGGAAAAGAAACUAACUAGGAUUCCCUCAGUAACGGCGAGUGAAGCGGGAAGAGCUCAAAUUUGAAAUCUUCAAGGUUCUACCUUGACGAAUUGUAGUUUAAAGAAGUGUUUUCUGUUGGAGUUUUGGUAAAAGUUCUUUGGAAUAGGACAUCAUAGAGGGUGAGAAUCCCGUAUUUGACCAUUAUUUUCAGCUGUGUGAUACACUUUCAAAGAGUCGGAUUGUUUGGGAAUGCAGUCCAAAAUGGGUGGUAAAUUUCAUCUAAAGCUAAAUAUUGGCGAGAAACCGAUAGCGAACAAGUACCGUGAGGGAAAGAUGAAAAGAACUUUGAAAAGAGAGUUAAACAGUACGUGAAAUUGUCAAAAGGGAAGUGUUUGACACCAGUGUUGUUUUCUCGAAAAUCAAUUAAAAAAGGCAGGAUUUUGUGUUGUAUUGACUUUAUCAGCUUUCUGCACUCUUUUCUUGUCUUUUUUAAUGCACUUUUCGUUUAAACAAGUCAACAUCAAUUUCUUUUGUUGUAAAAGGGUCAUUGGAAGGUGGCUUUCUUUUCGGAGAAAGUGUUUAUAGCCUUUGGCCUCUGCAAUCGGAGAGAUUGAGGUCUGCAGCGUAGAUCCUUCGGGGUUAGAUACAUUUGUGCUAAGUUAUAGCCUUUCAUAGACAACUUGUUGACUAUGAUCAGUCAUGUAGCUUACUCGCUUAUGCUAUUUUACCUACGCUUAGGAUGUUGAUGUGAUACUGCGAGCA
This 775-nucleotide ribosomal RNA is filed under the name uncultured Neocallimastigales. RNAcentral describes it as "partial large subunit ribosomal RNA". It matches the Rfam family "Eukaryotic large subunit ribosomal RNA", at positions 23 to 646 of the family's 3401-position model. Lineage: Eukaryota; Fungi; Neocallimastigomycota; Neocallimastigomycetes; Neocallimastigales. The record is from RNAcentral.